Molecule: long non-coding RNA, 2384 nt
Filed under: Podarcis lilfordi (Lilford's wall lizard)
Lineage: Eukaryota; Metazoa; Chordata; Lepidosauria; Squamata; Lacertidae
Source: RNAcentral
AGGCCCCAGAUGUGGAAGGCUCUGUGUGGAGGCUGCAAUUUUCAAUGCUUACAGGUAGCACCCCAAUCGAUAAUGUCUCUUUAUGAGAAAUUACCGUUAAUGUUAUUGAGUAUGCAUUUGGCUUUAUAGGAUAAUAAGGUAAUAUGAAAUGCCAAUUCAUUCAUUAGAAGGGAGCUAAGUGCUUAAAUGAAAUGGGUGACAGGUCUGGAGGGGGAACGAGGGAAGAAGGAGAGAGUGAGAGAGGCCAUAACAAAAGAGGUAGUCAUGGGAAGGAAGUAAGGAAUGGAUUUCAAAUGACCUAAGAACCCCUCCACCCACCCCAAUGAUUUUAAGCCGUAUAUUUGCAUUGGCUUUCGGUAAGCAAUAUGCAUUUGGAGAUUAAGUUGUUGGAGCGUUCACAGGUCAGGGAGCUGUUCAGGCUGAAAGUGGGAUCUGAUCUUUCAAAGGGGGCAGCAAAAGCCUAUUGGAGCCAGGCCAGAAAUGUGGGCAAGCAGAACUCGUAUGGGCACUCUCUGGCCUUGCAAUCAAUUGGUGGAACUGGCAGAGCCAGCCGUUGGCAUCUCCCAGUGCUUUUUUUUUCUUAAAAAAAAAAAGUUUAGAGCAGGGGUAUGCAACCUAAGGCCCGGGGGCCGGAUCUGGCCCAAUUGCCUUCUCAAUCUGGCCUGCAGACAGUCUGGGAAUCAGUGUGUUUUUACAUGAGUAGAAUGUGUGCUUUUAUUUAAAAUGCAUCUCUGGGUUAUUUGUGGGGCACUACAACGCAACAGUAACCACUUUCUGUAACUAUCCAAUCACUGAACGUCACUUUCAAUUCCUUAUUUGCAUAUGUGAACCUGAGUAAAAACUAUCUACAGUAUCCCUCUGCUGGCCCAGGGUGAGAACUUCAGUACAUAACACUUUCCAACAUUUAUUUGUUAGUGUGUGAUUUUCUUUUUUGUACAUCUACCAAAGAAUAAAAUAAAAUAAAAUCAGGAUUAAGGGGUUUCUCGGGACGGGGAGAAUAUGUGCUGUGUCCCAUUGGUAAAGUAGUGGUAGCAUUCACCCUUCCUCUGACAGGAAAUGCUUCGGGUGGUGGUGGACAAAAAAUAGGAGGCUGAGAAAGGUCAGAUGAGGGGAGUCCUUGUUUUCAUCUGAGGAAUGUUAGAGGGUGUGGCUCUCACUGCUGGUUUACCUCUGUUCUCUGAGCAUCCGAGCAGCAACAAGAGAGAGAGGAGGCAGAACAGCAUCCUCCACUUGCCUUUUCAAUUUUGCACCAAAUACAGACACGCAGACAGAAACACACACACACACACACACCCCACUGGGCCUAAUCUAGAGGUUUCCUGUGCCUGAUACAAAGACUUGGUCCAGAAAGACCUAUAUGCACCAUUUGAUGGAAAGGUGCGGUCCAAACCAAGCAAACAAAUAUGCAAAUGAGCAUUGCUGCAAUGGAGAUUUAUUUGCUGAAGAUGUACAUUUCUAUCCAGAUUCAGGGUCCAGAUGGCUGGGUACCAGCAGAGGCAAGAGGCAGUUUACCCCAAUUUGCACUGAGAAAUUCCCUUUGCUGGGUGCUAUCCUUCAUCCUCUGAUUUCUGGAACAGGCCUUUUCCAUUGUGAAAUUUGGUGCAUUUUUGUGAUUUUGGGCACAUGAAACAGAAGUUCCUUAAAUACAAAUCUCCCCCAUGCCCUGUGCAUAAUGCAAAAUGUUAGAUUUGAGGCAACAUGGAUUUAGUAUCUUUCUGCCAUAAAAAAAUGGUAGGGCUGUUUGGCUAGUUCCGUCAACUUUUCCUUACUAACAAGAGUGCACUUGAACCUAGACUGAAGAGCCGUCUUCACUAAUAAAUGAAGGUAUUUGUGUAUGAAGAAAGUAUUGUUAUUUAUAAUUCAUUAUACUUCUCUUUAAAAAUUUACAGUCGGGGAGCAGAAUCGAUAUCUUUUGAUGCACCAAUCAUACACCGUUGGCUCUACAGAGAGAAAGCAAGGAUGAUGACUAUGAUUGAUGAUGAUGUUAAUAAAGGUAAUGAGUUGUUACCGGGAACUGAUACAGUUGUGAUGGCUAAACGCAAAAGGCAGUGUCUGGGCAAGAAGAUUCCUCUUAACAAUUCUGGGGAGAUAGUCACGUAAACAGAUCUGGCUUCCCCAUCUCAAGACUAGCGACCUGUAUACAUGAUGCAUGGAAGAGUCAGCCAACGAGAGCAGGAAUAGACCUGUGUGCACCUUGCGCUAAGGUGCUGGGGUUUGCAUUCACUGCCUUGCUGCUAUUGAACUGUAAUGAACUGCAGGGUUGAUCUCAUUUCCUCAGGAGCCAAAGGCUGCAAUCAGACAGCACUUUACUCCAUUUCCCCAAUGUUUUCAUACCUGAAGAUUUCCACUUUUUUGCCAUCUUCCACAUGACAAUAAAAAGCCAC